GAAGGUUCCUACGAAACGUCCAUCAGCCCUACAAUGAGCUACGUCGUGAGGGAGCAAGAAACCUGAACCCAGUCCCUUAUCACGCAGACUACACGGGCCAUAAAUUACACAUGGACCAAAACGAAAAGUUGGGUAUGUUCGGAGUGACCCAUGUGUUGGCUGUAGAUGGGUACAGCAGUAAAAUUAUGGCUCAAUUCACGAUGCCCGUGAAGAACAAUCUGAUCAUCUAUGAGGAAGUUUACAGGAAAGCAGUUGUCAACAACGGAAUGUGGGACCAGAUUAGAGUUGAUCACGGCAAGGAGUUUUAUUUGACGUUAUACAUGCAGGAGAAGUUGGCUGAACAUCGACACAACACCAAUAGACUCCCUUACCUGCAGACAACCUCU
Molecule: long non-coding RNA, 386 nt
Organism: Eleginops maclovinus (Patagonian blennie)
Lineage: Eukaryota; Metazoa; Chordata; Actinopteri; Perciformes; Eleginopidae
Exons: 3
Source: RefSeq, a predicted model, not a curated record